GUCACACUUGCAUUGUGCCAUGCAGCCAAUAUAUAAAGCCUUACGCAAACAGGUAGAAGCACAAUAGCUCAGGGUGUUGCGAGGCUAAUCAUCAGGCAGUAAAAGGAUAACCACUGAUUUUCAUCACUGCUGGAGCUGACCUGACUACAAUGGAUACUGGACAAAUCCUAUCAAUACUGCUGAUACUAUCAGUGGCUAUGGACUUUGUUCCUACUUCAACUUCUGCAGAAACGAUUACAACUGUAGAUCCAACUAGUGUUUGGUCAACAACAGAUCCACAAUCAACAACAAUGGGAGAGUUAACAACUGCAGAAUCAUCAGCCACUCCUGAAUCAACAACAAUGGAAGAAACAACAAAUACAGGGUCAACAGAAGCUCCUGAAUCAACAACUGUAGGGUCAACAGAAGCUCCUGAAUCAACAACAAUCGGAGAGUCAACCACAGCAGGGUCAACAGCACCUCCACAAUCAACAACAAUGGGAGAGUCAACAACUACAGAAUCAACAGCUGCUCCUGAAUCAACAACAAUGAGAGAGUCAACAACUACAGAAUCAACAGCUGCUCCACAAUCAACAACAAUGGGAGAGUCAACAACUACAGAAUCAACAGCUGCUCCACAAUCAACAACAAUGGCAGAAACAACAAAUACAGGGUCAACAGAAGCUCCUGAAUCAACAACUGUAGGGUCAACAGCAGCUCAGCAAUCGACAACAAUCGGAGAGUCAACCACAGCAGGGUCAACAGCACCUCCACAAUCGACAACAAUGGGAGAGUCAACAACUGCAGAAUCAACAGCAGCUCCACAAUCAACAACAAUGGGAGAGUCAACAACUACAGAAUCAACAGCUGCUCCUGAAUCAACAACAAUGAGAGAGUCAACAACUACAGAAUCAACAGCUGCUCCACAAUCAACAACAAUGGGAGAGUCAACAACUACAGAAUCAACAGCUGCUCCACAAUCAACAACAAUGGAAGAAACAACAAAUACAGGGUCAACAGAAGCUCCUGAAUCAACAACUGUAGGGUCAACAGCAGCUCAGCAAUCGACAACAAUCGGAGAGUCAACCACAGCAGGGUCAACAGCACCUCCACAAUCGACAACAAUGGGAGAGUCAACAACUGCAGAAUCAACAGCAGCUCCUGAAUCAACAACAAUGGGAGAGUCAACAACUGCAGAAUCAACAGCCGCUCCUGAAUCAACAACAAUGGGAGAGUCAACAACUGCAGAAUCAACAGUCGCUCCACAAUCAACAACAAUGGAAGAAACAACAAAUACAGGGUCAACAGAAGCUCCUGAAUCAACAACUGUAGGGUCAACAGCAGCUCAACAAUCGACAACAAUCAGAGAGUCAACCACAGCAGGGUCAACAGCAGCUCCACAAUCGACAACAAUGGGAGAGUCAACAACUACAGAAUCAACAGCUGCUCCACAAUCAACAACAAUGGGAGAGUCAACAACUGCAGAAUCAACAGCAGCUCGUGAAUCAACAACAAUGAGAGAGUCAACAACUACAGAAUCAACAGCUGCUCCACAAUCAACAACAUGGGAGAGUCAACAACUACAGAAUCAACAGCUGCUCCACAAUCAACAACAAUGAAGAAACAACAAAUACAGGGUCAACAGAAGCUCCUGAAUCAACAACUGUAGGGUCAACAGCAGCUCAGCAAUCAACAACAAUCGGAGAGUCAACCACAGCAGGGUCAACAGCAGCUCCACAAUCGACAACAAUCGGAGAGUCAACAACUGCAGAAUCAUCAG
Gouania willdenowi (blunt-snouted clingfish) is the source of this 1759-nucleotide long non-coding RNA. Ensembl annotates it as mucin-22-like. The record is from Ensembl. Lineage: Eukaryota; Metazoa; Chordata; Actinopteri; Blenniiformes; Gobiesocidae.